Bombus pyrosoma is the source of this 6813-nucleotide long non-coding RNA. RefSeq lists it as uncharacterized. NCBI's taxonomy places the organism in Eukaryota, Metazoa, Arthropoda, Insecta, Hymenoptera, Apidae. The record is from RefSeq and is a predicted model, not a curated record. The transcript has 5 exons.
GCCGAGCAUAGCGCACGAAUGGAAUCGAACGAGGCGCCUGUAGCGUAUCAAAAGAUUAGCGAAAAUAACUCGUUACGAGCUUAUUAUCUUCUUACGCCUAUGCGAUAUAUAUUUCUGGCGCGAUAAGCAUAAUUCCAUGGUCUACGACGAGAUGAAUUAGGAAUUGCUGCGUCAUUUCGAUCCGCAUCGUCGAGUGAAAUUGUGAAAAUAAUGCUCCCUCUAUUAGUUACAACGUAAUUACACGAUGUUUCCAUGUAUCUUUUACGAUAGCUACGCGAUGAUGUUUAAUUAGCUCAAUGAUUGUUUAGGAUAUCUUGCUUUCCUCUCUUUAAAGAAAUGCUGUUGUGUUUGGAUUGUUCUUUGUGGAAAUGCUCGGUCAACGCAAGAUUGGCUCUUAAUAACGACGUUUUAACAAGCAGCAUGUAAACUAAUGCUUAUGACAUCGUCAUAAAGCUUAUCGACAUUCCUAUGGCAUUCGAGGAGCACGCGUUUCUCUUAUCAUGGAUUAAGAACACAAUUUCUGAUAUAGCUAAAAUGAUAAUAAUCUUAGCUAAGAUUUCUAAGGAUUCGCGGCCAUCGAUUGUAGCAUGGUACUACUAUCUGCUGAGAUUUAUAUUUAAGUUAAAAUAAAAUAAAGUUAUAUUACGUGUAUUACACGUGUACGAACGAUUUGAAAACGAGCAAUAAAUCAUAUUAAAGACAGCUACUGAUAGCGUGAGAACGAGACUUUUAUAAUCGUAAACGAUAACGUCUUUUAAUUUUUUUUUCUUAUCUGAAUCGCAAUUUUAUUCUUCAUUCAGGUUAUGACUCGUGGUGCGACACUAGCGCCACACGUGUCGAUUACUAGUUCGCGAUAUGCAUAUUUAUCUAUAUAAAUAAUUGCUAUUGUAUCCCUUCAAUUACUUAUCGCUUUUCCCUUAUUUAUUAUCUAUUUUUCAAAUAUACUUGCGAUUAUUGAAUCCACUUAUAAAUAUAAUGAAAAUCAUAUUUUACAAAUUUGUAGUUUACGCGAAAGUUUCGUCUCAACGUUGAGAUAUAAUAUUGCAGCGGUAAUCAAAUAUAUAUGUUUUGUUUGCUUAGAUAAAUAGGGGAUUGUAGUGAUAUCUUGAUCCUGUUCGUACUUCGUAAUUCAGGAAUUAGUUUUAUCUUGAGGAAUAUCGAUCGAUUUAAAAGUAAUCGCGUUUAUAUUUCGUCGUUACCUAACGACGUAUCGUGAAACAGCAAAAAUCCUGAUUAUUUUCACAGAAUCGUAAGACUGCAGACUUUUUACUCCAACUGAACGAUUUCUUUUGUAACGAAAAAUAAUAUGAAAGAUAAUAAACGACAAUAAGGAAGAUAAUUAAAAAAAUGUAAAGGUAGAUGUGUAAUAUACUGCUAUAAUAUUCAGUCUGCCAUAUUCUACAGGCAUUUCCUUAUCUCUUUUACAAUUUGCAACUUGUUUUAGAAUUGGUAUCAAGUAUGCUUUAUAGCCAUUUAUUACAACAGAUUGCUGCAUUCAUUGUGAUUAUAUUUAUGUUGAUCGUGAUUAUGUAUAUCUACUAUACAUUUGUAAACUCCCUACUGUCACGUUCCACUUUGUUUAAACGAAACUUAAAUCAAGCAAUUCAUCAUGAAGAAUCAUCGGCCAGAAGUGAGAUAAAAAAAGCAAUCUGAAACCUGUGAGAAAGUAAAUUUUCAUUAUCCAUUUUGACCAUUUACAUCUAUCAUAAUCGGUAUUUGUACGUGACGCCAUGUUGAUACGACCUUCAUGGUGUCUAGUUACCGUCAUAAUGCGUCAUCGUUGAGGGAAGAGCCUUGAAUGCAUCGAGUUUCGUGAAAAAUUCAUGGACCUUGAUUUAAAGAAUCGCAGGAGAAAAAUGAAGAAAAAUCUGAUUCAAAAGCAGAUUCAACAUUUCGAUUCGAACUGGUCGAUUCUCGAAGUUGUACUUUCAAGAAAAUUAUUUUUCAGUUUAAUUGAAUUUUUUAGCUUCCGAGCCGAUAAUAUUGAGAAACUUUAAAAACUGAUCGAUUUGAGGGAAAUUUUUUAAUCUUGAUAUUCGCCGAUAGCGAUAUUUCUAUAUUUGAGAAUUUGCCAAUUUAUAGCAAAUCUAUGGACUUGACUGAUUUUUCACGUUUUUAAAUUAAAUCAUUAAAUCUUUUUUCAAUUUUGAACAAAGAUUCCAGAGAGAGGAUUUUAAGGAUUUUAAAAAUUGACCAGUUUGAAAUUGCCAAUUAUCAAUUUUCUAAAAUACAUCUUUCUAUUCUUCUAAGGAAGUGAUUCACGCGUAUUAGAGCAGCGGUUAUCGUCGCUUAUCUUCACUUUAUCAGUUCGUUAAUCCAACUUUCCACAAAAUUCGGCUGCGUACGAUUUCCUUUGAUGCCGCGCGCGUGCUCCGCGCUUUUCAUUUUCCCGCGAUUUCUUCGAACUAUUACGAACGGAUUAUUCGGCUUAGGGAAAACGACAGGUAAAUUCAUCUUCCGAUUUCCUUUCCCCGUUUCUCCGCCGAUGAUAAUUUUUAAUGGCAUUGAUCAAGUCUCAUCUGCAUCUUACAGUAUAUUUUUACCCCAAUCAACGCGAGCACGCGAAGAAGGAAAUGAUCGCGUAAUUGCUCGACCAAGGACGCACCUGAAGAAGUUCCAGUCACUUUUUCUCGCUCAUUGUGAAACGAUAUUUCGCUUUAAGACUCGUGCACGUUUAAAUAAUUUCCAGUCUAAAAUAAUGCAUCUAGGUUCUCAGACGUACAAACGAAAUUUUUUCGUUUGAUAACGUUGCAUAAAUCGUAUUUCAGGUCUGCGAAUAUUAAAAAAAAUCGCAGGUACAAUGUUCAGGUAGAAAUAAAGUUACAUUCGUUGUUUGUAGAAUAGCUAUAUAUCACAGAUCACACGUAUAUGUAAAUUUUUCACGAAUUUCAUCUUUUAGUUGAUCAAUUGUUCAACACAGUGGAAAGGGCAUUAUUCUAUUUGUAUUCUGUUAACAACGCUCCACAGUUUUCCUCAUAAUCAUAGAAAACCUAACACUAACCUAACCUAUUUGUAUAGUUCGCUUAACAAUGCAUAUUCUAAUAGCCUGCAGAUGAAGCAUGUUUUUAUGCAAUUUUAUACGACUCAAAGUAUUGAUCAAACAUCGAUAACCAAUUAAACGACACGCCAAAUGACAAUUGUCUUUAUACGAUUUAAAAUUCUAGAAAAGUACGUGCCAUUUGGAUUGCCAUUUUGCUGGCUAGCCACUCGUGGCCUCAACUUGGACUUCUCAAAAAUAUCGUUGGAGUCCUUUUAAUCCUUCGAUGUCAGCAGAAUCCUUUUGAUCCUCUUAAUCCAUCGAAUCUGUCCCAAGUUUGCCUCGGACAAAGAGAACAGAAACUAAUGAAACUAUUGGGUUGGCAACUAAGCGAUUGCGGGUUUUGUCAUUACAACCUAAUGACAAUGUCCGCAACCACUUAGUUGCCAACCCAAUAAUAAGCCAAUUGGCCAGUUGCGUCUCAUUUAAAAAAUGCUUUGCCACGAAAGACAGCAAUCGUCACCUGUCAUUUUUACUCCGCGGAUUCAACGUCCGAACCAUGGUCGAUUGUAUCAAAGACGAGUAAAACAGAUGUUAAGCGAUCAUUUCGUAACGACGAUCGACGAUACGAAGGCGAGGAUCACGUUCCGAGAAGCUCAUUUGCUACGGAUGAUCGUACAACGUUUUGAUUAUUGUCGCGAGAUUUUCCUGUUUGGUGCGAAACGUAGGGCAAACAGCAGCACGCGUGUUAUUAGGAAAUGCUGCAACAGUUAGCUCGUUCGAUAGUUUCCAGGAAUGUUAAUUCUCUUCAAACGGGGAAACACCGCUCGAUCUUUCUGUUGGCUUUGAAAAUUAAGCGUUCGUCGAGUCAUAUCUGAGCCAGUAGCACGUUGCAACGUUAAAAAAUAUUUCACGUUGGUUUCGUUGCCGAAGCCAGAAUAAUGUUGAAGUAUUACAAUUUUUAGAGGAAUUAACAUUUUAUCAUUUACUGAUUAAUAACAAGCUAUUGACGGAAUAAAAAAGUUAUCGAGACACAAAAAUAGCUUUAAUUUUGAAAGUUCGAGAUCAGGUGGGACAUAGGUUAGUUAGGUUGGCAACUAAGUGAUUGCGGAUGUUGUCAUUAGGUGGUAUUGACAAAAUCCGCAAUCACUUAGUUGCCAACUUUUCUCGUUGUUUUUGUGUCUUGCGUUUCCUGUCUACACCGAUGCGAGUCCCGUAUGUCGUGACACACCUUGUAUAUAGCACAGAAAAGAUUCACUGAGAUGAUUCUAGCAACGGUAUUCCAGGCUAAUUAGCCUUUUGACGGAUUGGCUAUCUUAUUUGAUCGACGAGAGCUUAAUAAUAAUCCUGAUCGAUCACCGAUAAGGUGUUAAACGAACAUGAAUGAACUUAUGUUUCGUAUGAUACGUACGAGUUGAUGCCAGAAGAAGAUAACAAGUAAUUGUUCUGGUCUUAACCUGCGAUUAAUUGGGCUAAAUUAUCUAAGAAGCUAGCAAGCUUCAAUCAUCUGAAAUUCAGUAGAUUUAGUUGGAAGAUUUUCAUUUAGAAGGAAAAAGUAGCUUUAUUUCUUAUUUCCUGUAUUUUCUAUCUUCUUCUUCUUUUACGAUAUUUUUCAAUGGCUUAUUUCAUAAUAUAACUGCUAAUGCCUGUUUUCUACCAUAAUUGACGAUGUUCUCUGUAAAAUAAUUACAAUUGCCUGAUACAAAUCUACAACUUGCCAUUAUAAUAUAACUUAAUGACUAUACAUUGAUUUUUGUACAAUUGAUAAUUGUACAACGUAAGAGUCGUUCUGCGGGUUGAUAUUUUUUUGUAAAAUAAAAAUCACACGAUCACGACAUCAGCACUGUGUUUAAUUAAUUUUUCCUCGCCAUAGAGGGUUGACCAAGUAUCCAAUUGAAUGGCACAGAUAUAGCAGAAACAAGGCAAGUUAAAUACCUAGGACUCCACUUGGACACACAAUUUACAUGGAAACAACAUACUAAAUCAAUUAUAGACAAAAUACGGAUAAAAAGCAGACAGAUGUACUGGCUAAUUAGUUGAAACUCUAAAUUCAGCAUAGAAAAUAAACUAAAAAUCUACAGAACGAUAAUAAAACCAAUUAGGACGUCGGGAAUACCACCAAGUGGGACAGCAGCAAUCAGCCACAUAAAUAAACUAGAGGCGCUACAAUCGAAGAUACACAAAGGAGGAUAUACACAAAGGCUUAAAAAUACCAACGGUCAAGGAAGAAAUUGCUAGGUACGCAGAAAAAUACAAGGAAAGAACGUCUACACAUCCAAACCAGCUGGCUACUGAAGCGAGCAAAAUUCCCAUAGAAAGAAGACUAAAAAGAAAACACUUCACUAACCUAACUAAAGAAAUAAAAUAGUCAAACUGGAAGAUGGUAUCCCGUAGCCAUCUAUAUGUCAUUUAGUACUAAAAUUAGAAAAAUGUACUAAAUCUCCAGCUGGAUAUAUUGUAAAAUACAAAUUAAAUAAUAAUAAUAAAAAAAAGAAUAGAGGGUUGUAACUACGAAUAGGUUUCUCUGGACCAACUUGGCUCAAUUCACGUAUCGUAAUGAUAUUCGUGUGUUGUUAUUAUAAAUCGGCCAAAAUAUCCGCAUAAGCACUCGUUGGUUUACGCGAUAUCGUAAUCCGAUACAACAGCGCACUCGAAUGGAACGCUUUGUUAUUAUUAAUGUUGGAAGCUUGUUUCAUGUUCGAUGACUAUUUAUCGAGUGUUGCUCAUCUUGAUUACACGUAACCGUACGAAAGAAUGUAUAACAGCCAGAAGCAUAAACUAAAGCGAUACGAGAAGAAUUACACGAUGCUCGAUGCGUGAUAGAAUACGCUCAAAGUGAAAGUAACUGUUUGUUAUGCGAUGCAAAGAAUGUCUCGAAUGUUACACGUAUCACAUGGCUAACAAGACAUUAAAGUGCAGCAUUCACGUGACCAAAGUUAUGGAAUACUAUCGCGUUACGUAACAACCUGCAAUAAUAUUGCCGGUGCUAUGAGAAAAAGAGCUGCGAGAAUUGCCUUUUGUUCUGACAAUGAGAAUUUUCGUCUGAUUAUCCGUGAUUUUUUUUAAGAGAAAGAAAGAGGACCAAGUAAUUAUUCCUAUAAAAAAAAAGCAGCAGUGUUUUCCAUAGAAAACAGUAGUUUUUCCAUAAAAAAAAAAAAAAACCAGAAGUAUACUAUCAACAUAGAAUCAUGGAAUAAAACAAGUUGCUAGCUUUUUGCUUUCACAACGACAGCGAAGAAUAAGAUAAAAAAUACUUUACGAUCUGAGUGAUAAAAAACAUGCUAAAAUGAUACGAAUUGCUUGUUCAAACUCGCAUUUCUUAACGAGAAGAAUAUUGUUAACAUAUAACAAUAAUGUAUCGAUAUCAACAAUAAUGAAAAGCCCAGCAUUAAAAUCAAACGAAUAUCAGGGAAUGAAAGAAGCGAUUCUUAAAUGAAAAUCCCCAUAGAAAUUGUCCAAUUUGGAACUUUAGAGCAAGGACCUGUAUGCAGCGAAUUGGAGGAAUAUUUGUCAAACAAUAUCAUCAGGAAAUUCAGCUUUUUUCUUUAAAAAUUGAAUACAAAGCGCCUGUAUUAUUCGUCCUUCGAGUGCCAAGACAUUUUUCUGAUAAAGUUAUCAGCCAAUGUACGAUAUAUUGGAUCAUGGAAAUAAGAGCGGUCGAUAAUUUGUUUGAAUUUUACUUACGUAUUUACAAGACACCAUGUAAAUAACCGUUAAACAGAAUUAUCUAAGCGAGGAAGGCAAUUAUUUCUGGAGAUUAACGAGUUCGUUAGAUAUAUUUAUUCUCCUCAUUGCGAUUCACACAGACGUUCAACGUUAGUAGAAAAUUUGAAGAA